Molecule: non-coding RNA, 29 nt
Filed under: Mus musculus (house mouse)
Lineage: Eukaryota; Metazoa; Chordata; Mammalia; Rodentia; Muridae
Source: RNAcentral
UGAAAAGUGCUUGCCAUAAAGGGAGAGGC